RNAcentral lists this ribosomal RNA (2949 nucleotides) under Triticum aestivum (bread wheat). RNAcentral describes it as "partial small subunit ribosomal RNA". The record is from RNAcentral. Lineage: Eukaryota; Viridiplantae; Streptophyta; Magnoliopsida; Poales; Poaceae.
AUGACAAGCGAUAAAGGAAAGGCUUCGAAGAAGGCUGGAGAGGCUUCUGGACAGCCAUCUACUACUCAUGAAGGGAAAGUCAGCAAUGAGCCACAGAGGCAACGGUCGCUCAAUGGGAGGACCACCGGCCCGACACGACGCUCAACCAAAGGAAAUUGGACCCCCGAAGAGGAUGAUAUAUUGUCCAGAGCAGUCCAGACUUACAAUGGGAAAAACUGGAAAAAGAUAGCGGAGUGUUUUCCCGAUAGAACCGAUGUACAAUGCCUGCAUAGGUGGCAAAAGGUUCUAAAUCCUGAGUUGAUCAAAGGGCCAUGGUCCAAAGAAGAAGAUGAUAUCAUUGUUGAAAUGGUAAAGAAAUAUGGUCCAAAGAAAUGGUCAACUAUUGCCCAAGCUUUGCCAGGACGUAUAGGAAAGCAAUGUCGGGAACGGUGGCACAAUCAUCUUAACCCUGGCAUAAACAAGGAUGCAUGGACACAGGAGGAGGAAAUUACUCUUAUACAUGCUCAUCGAAUGUAUGGAAACAAAUGGGCUGAAUUGACAAAGUUUUUACCCGGAAGGACGGACAAUUCAAUUAAAAACCACUGGAACAGUUCUGUAAAGAAGAAAAUUGAUUCUUAUAUGUCAUCAGGUUUACUUGCUCAAGUCUCGCGUCUCCCACUUAUUGAACACCAUGCGCAUUUUAAUUCCUCACCGGCAAUUACGCAACAAAACAGUGAGGACAGUGACAGCAAUGCUGUCCGGGAGGUUGAGGAUUCAUCAGGGUGUAGUCAAUCCUCAUUGGCCAUGGUUUCUUGCUCGCAAGUGCAGGACACCAAUCUGGCCUUGAGCUGUGAUUUACAUGUGAAUGCGGAUACCAGCAAGACAGAAGCACGUGAUUCUCAGUCUUCUAUGUGCCAGGAAGACUAUACUUCCACCGAGGGUGCUGCAUCUGCUUUGUCUGAAGUUCAUUGUCAUGCUUCUUCCUCCAGAUUUGGUCCAGAUAAACUCUUGCAGCAGGACAUUUCACAAAGAAUGAAUUUGCAGAUGGAUAUUGAUGAAAUACCAGGUAACUCUAUGUUUGAAAACAACCAGACCAUUUGUAGUACAUUGAAUAAUGAAAGACCGAUGUUACAGUAUGAGAUAGCACCAGAUAUGCCUAUCUCUGUGCUAACAAAUGUUUCUGGAGCUGAGCAAAAACUACAUUUCAUGUCCGAGGCUGACUUCAGCAGUCCUAAUUGUUUGAAAUCAGAACUUUGGCAAGAGAUUUCGUUCCAGAGUCUUCUUUCUGGACCUGAUAUAGUUGAUGCUGAUUCUCUUUCAAGACUAAACCACCAUUCAGAUACACAUUCCUCUGAAGCAGACACCAAUUUUUUGGCAGCACCCAACCCAUCACAUACAUCAAAUCCAUCGAGUAUGAUGGUGGCUGCUUAUGGCCAGGAUCCAUCGUUGUCAGUACCACAAUCUCUUAUUUCAAAUGGUUUGUCGGACGCGGCUGAUGAAAAGUCAGGAGAAAUGCAAGUUUCUGGGUCAGAGAUGAUCACAUGCAUGCAUGAUUCUUUUGGUGAUUCUGAGCAGUUUGCUACCCCUGGCAGUACUGAUGGUAGACAUGGUGCUUCAGCAAUUAUAGAAAGAAUACCGGAAUACGGGGACAAACAGUUAACUGAUGCUGAAGAACCUGCUGCCAGCAUGGCCAAAGAACCACCAUUGGCACAGGGUGAGGCUGCAUCAGAUGAAAAGCAAGAUAAGGGAGCGCUAUUCUAUGAACCUCCUCGCUUCCCAAGCAUGGAUGUUCCAUUUGUCAGCUGUGAUCUUGUAACUUCCGGCGAUUUGCAAGAGUACAGUCCCCUUGGCAUUCGGCAGUUGAUGCGCUCAACCAUGAGCGUAACCACUCCAUUGAGAUUGUGGGGCUCCCCUACCCAUGAUGAAAGCCCUGAUGUUGUGCUGAAGAGUGCCGCCAAAAGCUUCAUAAGCACACCAUCAAUAUUAAAGAAACGACCGAGAGAUCUGUCAUCUCCGACUCCAGAAAAAAGAAUGGAGAGGAAGUCUAGGACUGAACAGGACAGUGGUGUGUUGGGCACAUCCUCUGUCAGUGCUCAAACAAGUUGCAUGCAUGCCAUUAAAGACAAAGCAAUUGUUACCGAAUCAGUUCUUUGCACUAAUCGAUCUUCAUCUUUUAAACCUCUGGAGAAGAAACUUGAGUUCUGUGAUGAAAACAAGGAAAUUUUGGGUGAAAGCGAGCAGGCAAAAGAUGGACGAAAUGCACAGAACAACCAUACUGUGGAUGAGCAUGCAAGAGGGGAACAGUGUUCCACUGCAAAUAUGGUCAAUACUAAUGAUGAGCCACCUGCAACUGUUCUUGUUGAACACAAGGACAAUGACAUUUCUGAUCAUGGCGCAAAUGCCAUGUAUCAGAAAAUGAACACAAAUCUUGAAGCUCUAUCGGCCUGUAAGGAAGCAUUUGCUAAAUCAAAGUCUGGAGAACUCAUUGCCGAGAAAUCUUCACCAUGCAUUCAAAUGGAUUAUGAAUAUGUGAACAUAUUGGCUGAUACGCCUGGUGUCAAAAGAGGACUGGAAUCUCCAUCGGCUUGGAAGUCCCCUUGGUUCAUAGAUAUGCAAUAUAAGGGGUCAUACUUCAUCAGCCCAGCGGAUACAACUUAUGAUGCAUUAGGAUUGAUGAAGCGGAUAAAUGUGCAGAGUGCUUCUGCUUUGGCGGAUGCCCGCGAGGUCCUGGCAAGUGGCAGCCAAUGUGGCAACAAAAUUUUUGAUGAGGAAAACAAGGAAAACAUAGAUGCCGAAAAUGAAACAGGAACUGGCAAGCCGCAAAAUAAAAUCAUGGCUGAAGCAAGAGUCCUUGACUUCAACGAGUGCGCCACACCGGUAAGAACGGCAGACAACAGUGUGGGUGGCAGCCUGACAAAAUCGGUCAGCUCACCCAUUCCUUCCUCCCACCUCCUGAAAAAUUUCAGAUAG